Molecule: unclassified non-coding RNA, 184 nt
Filed under: uncultured fungus
Lineage: Eukaryota; Fungi
Description: sequence contains ITS1, 5.8S rRNA gene
Source: RNAcentral
ACAAAUGAUUUGGUUUUAUACCAAAACACUGUGUGCAUUUAUAUCUGUCUCUGGUUGUAUGGUGUUUCUUUCUGUCCGUUGCAAGUAAAGUUGCAAUGGCUGAAAGUCACCGACAACCAAACGUUUGAACAAACUUUUGUAUUUUUUUUUUGUCUGAAUCAUUCACUUUUGUGCAAUGAAAAAA